CCUACGGGAGGCAGCAGUGGGGAAUAUUGCACAAUGGGGGGAACCCUGAUGCAGCGACGCCGCGUGAGUGAAGAAGUAUUUCGGUAUGUAAAGCUCUAUCAGCAGGGAAGAAGAUGACGGUACCUGACUAAGAAGCCCCGGCUAACUACGUGCCAGCAGCCGCGGGAAUACGGAGGGGGCAAGCGUUAUCCGGAUUUACUGGGUGUAAAGGGAGCGUAGACGGCAGGGCAAGUCUGGAGUGAAAGCCCGGGGCCCAACCCCGGGACUGCUUUGGAAACUGCCAUGCUGGAGUGCGGGAGAGGUAAGCGGAAUUCCUAGUGUAGCGGUGAAAUGCGUAGAUAUUAGGAGGAACACCAGUGGCGAAGGCGGCUUACUGGACAGUAACUGACGUUGAGGCUCGAAAGCGUGGGGAGCAAACAGGAUUAGAUACCCCUGUAGUC
This 440-nucleotide ribosomal RNA is filed under the name uncultured bacterium. RNAcentral describes it as "partial 16S ribosomal RNA". It matches the Rfam family "Bacterial small subunit ribosomal RNA", at positions 338 to 795 of the family's 1533-position model. The record is from RNAcentral.